AAGACUAUGUUUUAGUUAGGCAAGAGGAUAUAGUAGAUAAUAUAGCAUUUUUCAUGGCUGCAUAUCUGUUGUCCCAGAAACAAACUAAUGUAUGAUGCCUUAUCAAACUAAGGUAUGGAUGUUGUCUUACUAGUUGAUGUGACUUUUCCUUUCAGUUUAAUGUUAUUUUGUUUUCUUUACUUUAAUCAUCUAAUGUAGAAAGAUGGCUCAAUGCUAUUCAAUGCUAUUUUCUUUUUUUCACUUUCGAAGGGCAUGGGAUGGAAGCACAGUAAUUUACAAUGAGCUUCUUGGGGAGUCACAGCUAUUGGGUAAGCAGAGCUAUUCCAUUUAAAUGUUAGAAGGAUGCUACCACAUCCUAUUUCAACAUGGCUCUUAGUGAUGUCAAUUGCAUUCAUUCAUGUGCGUUGAUCAGGAUAUAACAAAACUCAACCGUUCUAAAAGCUUGCAUCUGCAGAAUUCUAGACUUCCC
RNAcentral lists this long non-coding RNA (469 nucleotides) under Nicotiana tabacum (common tobacco). Its description in RNAcentral is "long non-coding RNA (NTAB_LNC006661)". The record is from RNAcentral. Lineage: Eukaryota; Viridiplantae; Streptophyta; Magnoliopsida; Solanales; Solanaceae.